RNAcentral lists this ribosomal RNA (496 nucleotides) under uncultured bacterium. Its description in RNAcentral is "partial 16S ribosomal RNA". It matches the Rfam family "Bacterial small subunit ribosomal RNA", at positions 28 to 507 of the family's 1533-position model. The record is from RNAcentral.
GAUGAACGCUGGCGGCGUGCCUAAUACAUGCAAGUCGAGCGAACAGACGAGGAGCUUGCUCCUCUGACGUUAGCGGCGGACGGGUGAGUAACACGUGAUAACCUACCUAUAAGACUGGGAUAACCUCGGGAAACCGGGGCUAAUACCCGAUAAUAUAUUUAACCGCAUGGGUCAAUAGUGAAAGACGGGUUUUCUGUUACUUAUAGAUGGGUCCGCGCCGCAUUAGCUAGUUGGUAAGGUAACGGCUUACCAAGGCAACGAUGCGUAGCCGACCUGAGAGGGUGAUCGGCCACACUGGAACUGAGACACGGUCCAGACUCCUACGGGAGGCAGCAGUAGGGAAUCUUCCGCAAUGGGCGAAAGCCUGACGGAGCAACGCCGCGUGAGUGAUGAAGGUCUUCGGAUCGUAAAACUCUGUUAUUAGGGAAGAACAAAUGUGUAAGUAACUAUGCACGUCUUGACGGUACCUAAUCAGAAAGCCACGGCUAACUACGUG